RNAcentral lists this ribosomal RNA (628 nucleotides) under uncultured archaeon. Its description in RNAcentral is "bacterial SSU rRNA". It matches the Rfam family "Archaeal small subunit ribosomal RNA", at positions 824 to 1445 of the family's 1478-position model. The record is from RNAcentral.
CUGCCUGGGGAGUACCGUCGCAAGGCUGAAACUUAAAGGAAUUGGCGGGGAGCACCGCAACCUGAGGAUUGUGCGGUUUAAUUGGAUUCAACGCCGGAAAACUCACCAGUGCCGACGGACAGAUGAAAGCCAGUGUGAUGAGCUUGCUGGAUUGUUCGAGAGGUAGUGCAUGGCCGCCGUCAGUUCGUACCGUAAGGCGUUCUGUUAAGUCAGAUAACGAACGAGACCCUCAUCCCUAUUUGCUAAGGUUUCUCCCUUCGGGGCGAGAUCACAGGACUAUAGGGAGACCGCUGGCGAGAAGUCAGAGGAAGGUGAGGGCAACGGUAGGUCAGUAUGCUCCGAAUGCACUGGGCUACACGCGCAAUACAAAGGACGGGACAAUGGGCCGCUGCUCCGAGAGGAAAGAUGGCUAUCCCGAAACCCGUUCGUAGUUCGGAUUGAGGGCUGUAACUCGCCCUCAUGAAGCUGGAUUAGGUAGUAAUCGCGUCUCAAAAAGGCGCGGUGAAUAUGCCCCUGCUCCUUGCACACACCGCCCGUCAAACCGUCUUAGUUGGGGGUGGGUGAGGCUGCCUUUUAGUGGGGUAUUCGAGCCUGCCUUCGACAAGGAGGGUUAAGUCGUAACAAGGUA